ACCACAGUGGGUGCUGUAAAUCGCGGUC
RNAcentral lists this non-coding RNA (28 nucleotides) under Mus musculus (house mouse). Lineage: Eukaryota; Metazoa; Chordata; Mammalia; Rodentia; Muridae. The record is from RNAcentral.